This is a non-coding RNA of Salmo salar (Atlantic salmon), 54 nucleotides long. The record is from Rfam. Lineage: Eukaryota; Metazoa; Chordata; Actinopteri; Salmoniformes; Salmonidae.
UAUGCACUCUACUGUAAGUCGCUCUGGAUAAGAGUGUCUGUUAAAUGACUAAAA